RNAcentral lists this ribosomal RNA (497 nucleotides) under uncultured bacterium. Its description in RNAcentral is "partial 16S ribosomal RNA". It matches the Rfam family "Bacterial small subunit ribosomal RNA", at positions 28 to 507 of the family's 1533-position model. The record is from RNAcentral.
GAUGAACGCUGGCGGCGUGCCUAAUACAUGCAAGUCGAGCGAACAGACGAGGAGCUUGCUCCUCUGACGUUAGCGGCGGACGGGUGAGUAACACGUGGAUAACCUACCUAUAAGACUGGGAUAACUUCGGGAAACCGGAGCUAAUACCGGAUAAUAUAUUGAACCGCAUGGUUCAAUAGUGAAAGACAGUUUUGCUGUCACUUAUAGAUGGAUCCGCGCCGCAUUAGCUAGUUGGUAAGGUAACGGCUUACCAAGGUGACGAUGCGUAGCCGACCUGAGAGGGUGAUCGGCCACACUGGAACUGAGACACGGUCCAGACUCCUACGGGAGGCAGCAGUAGGGAAUCUUCCGCAAUGGGCGAAAGCCUGACGGAGCAACGCCGCGUGAGUGAUGAAGGUCUUCGGAUCGUAAAACUCUGUUAUUAGGGAAGAACAAAUGUGUAAGUAACUAUGCACGUCUUGACGGUACCUAAUCAGAAAGCCACGGCUAACUACGUG